CUCCACUGCUCCACCCCCAUUACAGCACGUUCGUAGAACUGCAUAAAACCACACGUGCAUCAGAUGGUUGCAACAACACUUUUGACCACUGUAAGGAGCAUGCAGUUCGCUUGGUAAAAGGUUUCCAUCUCCCAGUUGCUAAAAUUUAUUCUAUAAAAACAAAAUGCCCUUGAUGCACAUCUUGCCUCUGGAUGGCACAUCCAUUCUGUUUAUUAAUCUGAUUUGCAUCAUCCUUAUUUACAUUCUUUAUCACAAAAAAAACAAUGAGAAUUUCCCACCAGGACCCAGGCCUCUACCACUAGUGGGGAAUAUAUUUAUUAUGGACAGAAAAAGGCCUUUUCAGACUCUGAUGGAGCUGAAGGAAAAAUAUGGCUCAGUGUUCAGCAUUCAGUUGGGCUUCCGGAAGAUGGUGGUUCUGACUGGCUAUGAGACUGUGAAAGAGGCGCUUGUCUUGAAAGCUGACCAAUUUGCAGAGAGGCCAGAUAUUCCUAUAUUCAAACAAAUUACAAACGGAAAUGGUAUGUCCCAGCUUCAGGUGGAAGUUUUUGUUGACAUGUGCAAAAGUCUGUGUGGAAGUGUGCUUCUCCUUCAUUCUUUUAAUGUUUUAAAAUUUCUUCUUAUUAAAGAUUGUACUGAUCAAAAAUAUAUUUAAAUGUAUGUGAUUAUGGGAAGAUCA
Anguilla anguilla (European eel) is the source of this 676-nucleotide long non-coding RNA. RefSeq lists it as uncharacterized. The record is from RefSeq and is a predicted model, not a curated record. The transcript is spliced from 3 exons. NCBI's taxonomy places the organism in Eukaryota, Metazoa, Chordata, Actinopteri, Anguilliformes, Anguillidae.